Molecule: ribosomal RNA, 274 nt
Filed under: uncultured bacterium
Lineage: Bacteria
Description: partial 16S ribosomal RNA
Rfam family: Bacterial small subunit ribosomal RNA
Source: RNAcentral
AUACGGAGGGUGCAAGCGUUACUCGGAAUCACUGGGCGUAAAGCGCGCGCAGGCGGCUUGAUAAGUUGGAUGUGAAAGCCUACGGCUCAACCGUAGAACUGCAUCCAAAACUGUCAAGCUAGAGUGUGGGAGAGGAAGAUGGAAUUAGUUGUGUAGGGGUAAAAUCCGUAGAGAUAACUAGGAAUACCAAAAGCGAAGGCAAUCUUCUGGAACACUACUGACGCUGAGGCGCGAAAGCGUGGGGAGCAAACGGGAUUAGAUACCCUAGUAGUCC